Molecule: ribosomal RNA, 434 nt
Filed under: uncultured Clostridium sp.
Lineage: Bacteria; Bacillati; Bacillota; Clostridia; Eubacteriales; Clostridiaceae
Description: partial 16S ribosomal RNA
Rfam family: Bacterial small subunit ribosomal RNA
Source: RNAcentral
ACGGGAGGCAGCAGUGGGGAAUAUUGCACAAUGGGGGAAACCCUGAUGCAGCGACGCCGCGUGAGUGAAGAAGUAUUUCGGUAUGUAAAGCUCUAUCAGCAGGGAAGAAAAUGACGGUACCUGACUAAGAAGCCCCGGCUAACUACGUGCCAGCAGCCGCGGUAGUACGUAGGGGGCAAGCGUUAUCCGGAUUUACUGGGUGUAAAGGGAGCGUAGACGGCGAGACAAGUCUGAUGUGAAAGGUGGGGGCUCAACCCCCAAACUGCAUUGGAAACUGCCUGGCUUGAGUGCCGGAGAGGUAAGCGGAAUUCCUAGUGUAGCGGUGAAAUGCGUAGAUAUUAGGAGGAACACCAGUGGCGAAGGCGGCUUACUGGACGGUAACUGACGUUGAGGCUCGAAAGCGUGGGGAGCAAACAGGAUUAGAUACCCUGGUA